This 73-nucleotide transfer RNA is filed under the name Mus musculus (house mouse). It matches the Rfam family "tRNA". From Rfam's summary of the family: Transfer RNA (tRNA) molecules are approximately 80 nucleotides in length. The record is from Rfam by way of RNAcentral. Lineage: Eukaryota; Metazoa; Chordata; Mammalia; Rodentia; Muridae.
GAAGGAAUGGUUCAGCAGUUAAGAGCACUGGGUGUUCUUCCAGAGGACCUGGGUUCAAUUCCCAGUACCUACA